Long non-coding RNA from Chelonoidis abingdonii (Abingdon island giant tortoise), 2819 nucleotides. RefSeq lists it as uncharacterized. NCBI's taxonomy places the organism in Eukaryota, Metazoa, Chordata, Testudines, Testudinidae. The record is from RefSeq and is a predicted model, not a curated record.
GGAAAGCUGCAGUUCCGCUGUUAUAACACAGGGAGCAGCCUGGAGAAUUUUGAGCUGCGUCACAGAGCUCUGAGAGAGUGAGUGAGUGUGAGAGAGAGAGCAAGCUCCCUCGAUAGGUCUACUAGCAACAGCCCUGCUGCAGCAAGGGGGGAGAGAGAGAGGCAGCAAGAGAGAGAGAGAGACAGAAGUAAUAACAUCAUGGACUGGGCUCCUGGAACCGGCCAGCUUAAUUUUUAAAAAAUUUAUUUUGGCUUAAUUGAUAUUGGAGGGUUCGCCCAUUGACGAUGCUGGAGACAUGAUGCGUUUAAUCCCGCGGGGAGGGAGGGUGGGCAGACGUCGGAAGGGUUAACGGGAGGAAAAUUCUGGAACAUUCUAUUCUGCGGCGCUGCACAGCGAGCGAACGAAGGGCUACGGAUUGCGCAGAUGUUUAACGGGCAGAGGUCUUCGGCUCGGGGUCCGUCUUUCCCACUGUCAGUUAUGCAAAGUAACAAAAAGCAAGGGAAGAAUGUGACAAACUCUUGGAAGUGGUUUGUUAUGUUAUUUAUGCAAAUAACACAGCCAGAACCCAGUAUUUCAUAGCUUGAAUUACUUCAGUGACAGGUGAGUUUCCUGUUGUUGCAAAAUAAGCCACACUGACAUGUCAGUCAGGCCAGAGGAAAGUCAUAGACUUUUAUGCAUCUUUCUCUUCCUUCUAAGGAUAUUAAGUUCUUGUUAUUGACCAACAGCACAAGUCUGGGAGGGACCUGGAAAAGAGGGUAAGGAGGCCAAGACAAACAGGAAGACAUUUUUUUCAUAACUAUUUUUUGCUAUCUUCGCACCCUCCCCUGCCUCCUCGAACUGAUUGACAAUGAAGAUUUCAGUUCUGCUCUGACGUUCUGUGAACAAACCAUUUGAGCUUGGGUCAUCUUGCUCAGAAAGCCAUCCAGAUUCUGAAGAGGAGUAGUAACUUGCUUGAUCAUUCAGCAGGGAGAGUUAUUCCUUAUCCCUUUUUCAGGUGAAGUGACUUCAAGAAUAUGGGGGUAUAAGCAUUUAAUGUAUAACUUACCAACAUCUAAAGAGCCAAGUACAGAUCAGAUGUAUUGUAUUCUCUUUCUUGAUUUCUUUUAUAGUAGUUUGUCUCCUAAAGUGCAUCCUGAUUUUUAUAUAAUGUAGAUACAUGCGCACACACCAUUCCAGCACUGAUUUCAUUGGGUCUUAAAGAGCACCUGCCUUGCUCUCUUGCUUCCAGCUCAGUGUCUUAGAGCAGUAAAAAGGAGGGAGUAGACCGUUUCCAAAGAGGGAGAAGUGGUAGGAGACAGGAGGAGGGAACACAUCAAGCCAGAGGGGAUAACUGAUCUGCUCCCCUCUUUCCCUCCUCGUGUCCAUCUCUGUUUUUCACCUCUCCCCCCUCUUCCAAGGUUCACGGUGAAUUUAAAAUGCUCUUACUGCAGUUGCCACUGCCCCUGCUGACUUGCUGAUCCCUCGCCCUGUGGAUUUGUCUCCCGUGGAGUCUUCUUGCUUCCUGCAGUGCCAGGUCCUCAGAGCAGCGGAACGGCAGUAACAAUAUGUGUCUGUUCGUCUUACUGCAGAGCACACAAUACAUAUACGUAUAUAGGCACAGUACUGCAGUUGCAUUUGUACAGGGCAGCAGCUGGGUUAAGAGCUGUUGCUUGGGAGAACGAAAUCGAUCUUGGAAUAACUGUGCUCGUGCCCAGAGAGAGGUACCUUCCACAGCAGGGUGGACUAUCAGACCACCUCGUGCAAGGUCAUUCAGCUGUCUCACCAUCAGCCACUAACAGCUGCAACUUCCCUUCACUUAAUUUCAACCCAUCUCUCCUUUUAAAGCCUGUGUCCUUGCUCAAGAAAAACUCCCACUGCAAACUUUUGAACCAAGUGGGAAGAUUGUCUCGGCCUGUUCCUGUCCUGUGAAUAGAUAAUGUUGGAGUAUGGAAGGCUGUCUGUCGCUUUUCAUCAGCAUUAAGUUCACUGAAACAAAAAUAGUAAUGGCUAUCCUAUCUCUGACUUUUCACGUUCAGCCUAGGUUGAUGAGGCUGCUCGCUGAAAGAGGCAUGGUGAUCUAAUGAUUGUAGCAGAAAAGACCAGGAGUCGGGUCACACAGUGGUUGAGUGAGGCAGAGGGGGACAGAGUGCCACACUGAGUGGACAUGAGUUACACAUCUCCUCACAUGGAAAUCUCAACCCAAGCUUCAGAAGUUCACCCAGUUCAAUUCUCUCUAUGUGCUACUGCUUGUUACGCCAGAUCCCCAGGUCCUGUGCCUGGCUCUACUAUUAACUCAUUAUAUUAUCUUGUGUGUAAUUCACAUUUCCUCAGUGUCUUAGUCUCCCCCCUGUAAAAUGGGGGUUUUUCCUUUCAGAGGCAUUGAGAAAAUUAAGGUCUAAUCCUCAGUUAACACUAUUUCUGGGAAUGGAUGGAGAGUGGUGCGCUUGAAGCCACCUUUGUCCCUGUAUUCUGGGAUCAUUGAGGAGCCUGUGUGGAUUGCAGUGUAAAUUACAGCAGCCUCGGGGCUACUUUGACAUAUACUCUGCUUUGCAUGGCCCCCUGUGGGCCCUGGGAAGAAGAAAAUAGCUUUAACAUGGUGGACUCUGGUCCUGCCUCCAGUCUGUCAUCUAUACUGAGCCAGUACAGAGUCUUUAUGCCAGCUAGGAAGGUCCCUGUGUAGGGGUGAUUCUCAGCGUGGGUUCUACCCAAUUUAAGGCCCCUUCACGCCUCCAGAGUGUUGCAAAGGGAAGUUAAUGUCCAUGACGCCCUUAGGUCCUGAAAGAGGCUGUGUACAAUCACAGCAUUAUUGGAGCUGGCUGAAAAGUGUGAAAAAAUACAUU